This 19-nucleotide microRNA is filed under the name Corchorus olitorius. RNAcentral's name for it is "osa-miR29". Lineage: Eukaryota; Viridiplantae; Streptophyta; Magnoliopsida; Malvales; Malvaceae. The record is from RNAcentral.
AAGGGAGGGAGGGGAAAGA